CUAACAAGAUCCCCUAGUAACGGCGAGUGAAGCGGGAUGAGCUCAAAUUUGUAAUCUGGCGGCCUCUUGGUCGUCCGAGUUGUAGUCUGGAGAAGCGUCUUCCGCGUCGGACCGUGUACAAGUCCCUUGGAACAGGGCGUCGUAAAGGGUGAGAAUCCCGUCUUUGACACGGACUGCCGAUGCUUUGCGAUGCGCUCUCGAAGAGUCAGUUGUUUGGGAAUGCAGCUCAAAACGGGUGGUAAAUUCCAUCUAAAGCUAAAUAUGGGCGAAAGACCGAUAGCGAACAAGUACCGUGAGGGAAAGAUGAAAAGCACUUUGGAAAGAGAGUUAAACAGUACGUGAAAUUGUUGAAAGGGAAACGCUUGAAGUCAGUCGCGUCUCUUGGGACUCAGCCUUGCUUUCCGCUGGGGUAUUUCCUGGGGUGACGGGCCAGCAUCGAUUUUGACCGUCGGAGAAAGCCCUUGGGAACGUGGCACCUUUGGGUGUGUUAUAGCCUUCGUUCGUAUGCGACGGUUGGGAUCGAGGACCGCAGCACGCCUUUUUGGCCGGGGUUCGCCCACGCACGUGCUUAGGAUGCUGGCGUAAUGGCUUUAAGCGACCCGUCUU
This 606-nucleotide ribosomal RNA is filed under the name Gautieria parksiana. RNAcentral describes it as "eukaryotic LSU rRNA". It matches the Rfam family "Eukaryotic large subunit ribosomal RNA", at positions 65 to 655 of the family's 3401-position model. The record is from RNAcentral. Lineage: Eukaryota; Fungi; Basidiomycota; Agaricomycetes; Gomphales; Gomphaceae.